UACGGGGGGGCAAGCGUUGUUCGGAAUUACUGGGCGGUAAAGGGCUCGUAGGCGGCCAACUAAGUCGGAUGUGAAAUCCCCAGGCUUACCUGGGAACUGCAUCCGAUACUGGAUGGCUUGAAUCCGGGAGAGGGAUGCAGAAUUCCAGGUGUAGCGGUGAAAUGCGUAGAUAUCUGGAGGAAUACCGGUGGCGAAGGCGGCAUCCUGGACCGGCAUUGACGCGUG
This 225-nucleotide ribosomal RNA is filed under the name uncultured bacterium. RNAcentral describes it as "partial 16S ribosomal RNA". It matches the Rfam family "Bacterial small subunit ribosomal RNA", at positions 524 to 748 of the family's 1533-position model. The record is from RNAcentral.